RNAcentral lists this ribosomal RNA (468 nucleotides) under uncultured bacterium. RNAcentral's name for it is "partial 16S ribosomal RNA". It matches the Rfam family "Bacterial small subunit ribosomal RNA", at positions 28 to 507 of the family's 1533-position model. The record is from RNAcentral.
GAUGAACGCUGGCGGCGUGCUUCACACAUGCAAGUCGAACGGAAAGGCCGAAGCUUGCUUCGGUACUCGAGUGGCGAACGGGUGAGUAACACGUGGGUGAUCUGCCCUGUACUUCGGGAUAAGCUUGGGAAACUGGGUCUAAUACCGGAUAUGACGAUCUCUUGGAUGGGGUUGUGGAAAGCUUUUGCGGUAUGGGAUGAGCUCGCGGCCUAUCAGCUUGUUGGUGGGGUAAUGGCCUACCAAGGCGUCGACGGGUAGCCGGCCUGAGAGGGUGUACGGCCACAUUGGGACUGAGAUACGGCCCAGACUCCUACGGGAGGCAGCAGUGGGGAAUAUUGCACAAUGGGCGCAAGCCUGAUGCAGCGACGCCGCGUGGGGGAUGACGGCCUUCGGGUUGUAAACUCCUUUCGCAAUCGACGAAGCCUUUUGGUGACGGUAGGUUGAGAAGAAGCACCGGCUAACUACGUG